This 519-nucleotide ribosomal RNA is filed under the name uncultured bacterium. RNAcentral's name for it is "bacterial SSU rRNA". It matches the Rfam family "Bacterial small subunit ribosomal RNA", at positions 21 to 518 of the family's 1533-position model. The record is from RNAcentral.
GGCUCAGGACGAACGCUGGCGGCGUGCCUAACACAUGCAAGUCGAACGGGGAUUUGUUCGGCAGAAUCCUAGUGGCGAACGGGUGAGUAACGCGUAGGCAACCUGCCCUCCGGCCGGGGACAACACUCCGAAAGGGGGUGCUAAUACCGGAUACGAAGUCUGUGCCGCAUGGUACGGAUUUGAAAGAUGGCCUCUAUUUAUAAGCUAUCGCCGGGGGAUGGGCCUGCGUCUGAUUAGCUGGUUGGUGGGGUAACGGCCUACCAAGGCGACGAUCGGUAGCCGGUCUGAGAGGAUGAACGGCCACAUUGGGACUGAGACACGGCCCAGACUCCUACGGGAGGCAGCAGCUAAGAAUAUUCCGCAAUGGGGGGAACCCUGACGGAGCGACGCCGCGUGAACGAUGAAGGCAAGAGAUGUUGUAAAGUUCUUUUAUCGCUGAAGAAUAACCGGUGCAGGGAAUGGCACCGGGAUGACGUUAGGCGAUGAAUAAGCCACGGCUAACUACGUGCCAGCCGCAGC